This 509-nucleotide ribosomal RNA is filed under the name uncultured bacterium. RNAcentral describes it as "bacterial SSU rRNA". It matches the Rfam family "Bacterial small subunit ribosomal RNA", at positions 28 to 527 of the family's 1533-position model. The record is from RNAcentral.
GAUGAACGCUAGCGGGAGGCUUAACACAUGCAAGUCGAGGGGCAGCAUAGGGUAGCAAUACUCUGAUGGCGACCGGCAAACGGGUGAGUAACGCGUAUGCAACCUACCCUGUACAGGGGGAUAACCCGGAGAAAUUCGGACUAAUAUCCCGUAAUAAUAUCCGGAGGCAUCUUUGGAUAUUUAAAGUUCCGACGGUACGGGAUGGGCAUGCGUAACAUUAACUGGUUGGUAAGGUAACGGCUUACCAAGGCUAUGAUGUUUAGGGGUCCUGAGAGGGUGGUCCCCGACAACGUGGUACUGAGACACGGACCAGACUCCUACGGGAGGCAGCAGUGAGGAAUAUUGGUCAAUGGGCGCAAGCCUGAACCAGCCAUCCCGCGUGCAGGAAGACGGCCCUAUGGGUUGUAAACUGCUUUUCCAGGGAGAGAAACUUACGCACGUGUUGCGUGACUGACGGUACCCUGGGAAUAAGCAUCGGCUAACUCCGUGCCAGCAGCCGCGGUAAUAGU